UUAUUAAAUUUUUUUAUUAUUUAUUUUAAUUUAUUAAAAAUAUUUAUAAAAAUAAUUUGUUUUAGUAUAGUUUAUAGAAAAAAUAAUUUUAAUGAUAGUUUAUUAGUAUUGUAAAAGAAAAUUGAAAUAUUUUGAAAAAAUAAUAUUUUUUAAGAAAAUAUAAUUUAUUGUACCUUGUGUAUCAGGGUUUAUUAAAUAAAAAAUAUAUAAUAUAUUUUUUUCGAUUUUAAAAGAGUUAAUAAAUUAUUUUAUAUAAUGUAAUAAAAUUAUUAAUAAUAAUUUAUUAGAAAUGAAAUGUUAUUCGUUUUUAAAGGUAUCUAGUUUUUUAAGAAAUGAAUUUAAUUCAGUUUUUAUAAAUAAAUUAUAUUAUUUAAAAUUAAUAUAAUUAUUUUAUAAAAAUAAUAUUUUAUGGGAUAAGCUAUAAAAUAAAAUUUUAUAAAUAAAUAAAUUUAUUUAAUAAAUAUAUGCUUAUAAUUAGCAAUUAUUAUUAAAUAUGUUAUAAUAUAUUUUAUAUAUAUAAUUAUUUAUUAUAUUUUUAAAUUUUUAUUAAAAUAUUUAUUUUAAUUUAAAUAAUAAAGUAAUAAUGAUAAAAUGAGUAUAUUUUUUUUUUAUAUAUUUAUAAAUUAUUGAAAGGUUUUUAUAAAGAAUUCGGCAAAUUUAAUAUUCGCCUGUUUAACAAAAACAUGUCCUUUAGUAUUAAAUUUAAGGUUUAACCUGCCCAAUGAUAUUAUAGUUUAAUGGCCGCAGUAUUCUAACUGUGCAAAGGUAGCAUAAUCAUUAGUCUUUUAAUUGAAGGCUUGUAUGAAUGGUUGGACGAAAUAUUAACUGUUUCAUAAAAAUUUUUAAUAGAAAUUUAUUUUUUAGUUAAAAAGCUAAAAUAUUAUUAAAAGACGAGAAGACCCUAUAGAUCUUUAUAUUUUAUAUUGUUUUAUUUAUUUAGAAAUUUUUUAAUAUUAUAAUAUAAAUUAUUUUGUUGGGGUGAUAGUAAAAUUUAAUUAACUUUUAUAAAUUUAUAUAACAUUAAUAUAUGAUUAAUUGAUCCACUAAUAGUGAUUAUUAAAUUAAGUUACCUUAGGGAUAACAGCGUAAUUUUUUUAGAGAGUUCUUAUCGAUAAAAAAGAUUGCGACCUCGAUGUUGGAUUAAGAUAUAAUUUGGGUGUAGAAGUUCAAAUAUUUAGGUCUGUUCGACCUUUAAAAUCUUACAUGAUCUGAGUUCAAACCGGCGUAAGCCAGGUUGGUUUCUAUCUUUAAUUAAUUAAAAUAUUUUAGUACGAAAGGACCAAAUAUUUAAAAUAUAAAUUUUUUAAAAAUUGAAUAUUAUUAAUUAU
This 1328-nucleotide ribosomal RNA is filed under the name Heterostomus curvipalpis. RNAcentral describes it as "16S ribosomal RNA". The stretch from base 1077 to 1236 matches the Rfam family "Archaeal large subunit ribosomal RNA", at positions 2542 to 2701 of the family's 2987-position model. The record is from RNAcentral. Lineage: Eukaryota; Metazoa; Arthropoda; Insecta; Diptera; Xylophagidae.